CUACAAACCCGAACUAUCGUCCCGAAUUUAUUCGGGAAGGAAAGUCCGGACAGCAUAGAGCAACCUACCGGCGAAUAACCGGUCUCGUUUCAAACGAGAAGAUAGUGCCACAGAAAAUAACUUCAUGCUUCGGCAUGACACAGGUGAAAAUGUGAGGUAAGAGCUCACAGCUGUUGCUGGUAACAAUAACAGCGGGUAAACCUUGGGUGCUGUAAUGCCACGUAUAGAGCCGUUUUAAGAGCUGCUCGUUCAAGGCUCAGGGUAGGCAGCAACAGGUAAACAGUAAUGUUUAUCGCAGAUAAAUGAUAGUUUAGAAACAGAAUCCGGCUUAUGAGGUUUGUAGUUUU
RNAcentral lists this RNase P RNA (347 nucleotides) under Bacteroidota bacterium. RNAcentral describes it as "RNase P RNA component class A". It matches the Rfam family "Bacterial RNase P class A". From Rfam's summary of the family: Ribonuclease P (RNase P) is a ubiquitous endoribonuclease, found in archaea, bacteria and eukarya as well as chloroplasts and mitochondria. Lineage: Bacteria; Pseudomonadati; Bacteroidota. The record is from RNAcentral.